RNAcentral lists this ribosomal RNA (117 nucleotides) under Oryzias latipes (Japanese medaka). Lineage: Eukaryota; Metazoa; Chordata; Actinopteri; Beloniformes; Adrianichthyidae. The record is from RNAcentral.
CACUUAGCCGUACCCCUCUGGACCUAAUCAAUUUCUUCUGAUCUUGGAAACUAAUCUUGGUUGGUGAUGGUUGGUCCUUGGAUUUGAGACCGGCUGGGUCUACCGAUGCUGGAGUGA